Pungitius pungitius (ninespine stickleback) is the source of this 1226-nucleotide long non-coding RNA. RefSeq lists it as uncharacterized. The record is from RefSeq and is a predicted model, not a curated record. NCBI's taxonomy places the organism in Eukaryota, Metazoa, Chordata, Actinopteri, Perciformes, Gasterosteidae. The transcript is spliced from 4 exons.
UUGACAGCUCACCUGCGAGCCGCUGUGGGUUCAGCCGAGGACGCGCCGCUGGUCAGCUGAUCGCUCGCGUUGUCCUCAGAGAACCUUUUAUCAACUUUAUUCACGCGAGCAGCAGACACGUCGCGCCGUGUGAGGAAGGAGGAAGUGUAAUUCUGGUAAACAACACCGUUUGCCAAGCGUGACACAUCAUCUCUGCGGACGGCUCUACCCUCCCACUCGGUGCGGGGGCUCGUAUAUUAGCCCCACUCCGCCCUGCAGCGCUUCAUCCAGCUCCCCGCUGUACUUUGCGCAGCUCUUCGUUAAACUCCAAAGCUCAGAUACACACCCGCAGCGGGACGAUGGCAACCAUCGCUGUUGAAUAUUGUGGAGGAUGAGGUUACUCAUCCCGCUCCCGCCGCCUGGAAAAUGACCUCAAACAGGUUCCUGGGGUGAAGAAGGUCACCGGGACCACGGGCCGGAAAGACAGCUUUGAGGUGUCGCUGGACGGUAAGCUGAUCUACUCCAAGCUUCAGAAGGGAUCGUUUCCUGACCCGUCUCAGCUGGUGGAGAUGGUGAAGAAGAUGAUUGGCAAAUAAGGAGGAGGGAAAGGGGAGGGAGAGUCAUAAAUGAGCUCCCUUCUUUUAAAAAGCUGUAUUCACACUGCAAGGACGAGGGUUUGGUUUCUCUUCACGGUUCGGAUGCUAAUCUGAAUACAAAAAGGGAAAUUAAAAUGUAAAACAUUAAAUCAUUGAAAAAACAAGGUCAUUUUGGACCAAAAUGAAAAGCUUUUAAAGUCUCAGCAUCAGCCACGAAGGGGAUCUGACCGCUUGUCUUCGCGGUGAAUACAGACAAAGGCGAGAAGAUGACGAGGCCUGCUCUGGGGAGCCAGACACUGAUCCGCACUCUAGUUUAUGAAUGUUCACAUUAAAAGUCACUCAGUGUGGACACGAUGGAAGUCUAGGAGCCAUUCAGCUGACUGGAGCCCGACGAGCUGCCUUCGUCACGUCCGUCUGCUAUUUACUCACAAACGAAUCGCCUCUGCUGCACUACUCGGGAAUCUUGCUUAAGCCACACACAUUUUUUUCACAUUUAGCUUUUCUCCAUUUGGAUCAUUCAAAAGGCUGCAGGUCCCCUGAUUGGGCUCAAGGAUAGUUUGCCUUUUGUGGAAAAAUACUCUGUCGUGUCAACGGAAUCUUCUUAACAUAUUAUUAUCAAAGACAUCAGGUAUAUUUUGUAUUUGUACUCCC